CUCGCACGUGGCCGUCCAGACGAAAUUCUAACCGCUGGUCCGGUCUCUGGGUUUUUUGGUGGGGGACUGGGACCUGCGGCCUAGGGGUUUGGGAGGGGGAGGUCUGGGGGAGCUGCGCUCUACCGGCUGCUGUUGCCGCCGCCGCCGCUGCUGAUGCAGUCGCUCCGGCAGGCGGGGCUCCCACUAUGUGUAUGCGCACUUCUCCCUAACAGUUUUAGGUCCCUAGCUCUGUCUCUUUUUCUGUUCCUAUUCCUCGCGGUAUCCCUGGCACUGUCUCUAUCUCCUUCUCUGUCUCUAGCCCCAGCCCUGUCCCUAGAUCUGUUCCUAGCCCUGUCCCUGUUCCUAGCCCUAGCAGUGGUUUCCGUAGUGGCACUGUUUUCCCUCGUGGCUCUGGCAGGACUACUAGUGCUAGCAGUGUCUUCGGCACUAAGACUUUCCUCUUCCCUGGCGCUCUCUCUACCUGUAGCGUCCGUAGCGAGAGCAAGUGCCAGAGCAAGUUCCCCGUCCCUACUAGUGUCUAGAGCUAGAGUAAGUUUUUCGUUCGCUCAGUCACCUAAGCUGGACCCUGGUUGUCGUGUUAGGCAUGAAGGAGUCAAGGGAUGGUAAGGUUGGGGUUCGUUAGAACCCAGUGAACGGGGUGACGGCGGCUACCUACGUGUCGGAUGACAUCGAAAUUACAUGUUCCUCCUUAGUCACGAGGCCAAACUAUAGCAGAACAGGUAGAAGUCGAUCGUUCAUAAUGUCUAACGAUCGAAGUACUGAUAAUGUAAAUAGGAAGGUGUGAACAACAAACAAGAAACUGUACUUUAUGACGUGUCGACCUAGGUAAACUCUAGGUCUGACUACCACUCUUCAUUAGUCCAAAUGUUCUCCUUAUGAGAAAACACGAUUAACAAAUACGAAGGAUGAUCUUUAAAUAACCAUGUAACGUCCAGUCAAUGGCCCGAGAAGAUAAGGACCUUACAAGGGCUUGUACGAGGGAAAACGACAACCUGUCAAGUUAGGGGAGCAGUACGUCGGUGUUCGGUACUGAGUUGUCCGAUGAGCCGUACGAGCCGCACAAAUACAGCCACCGGAAGGGGGUAGACGAUUACUUGUCAGACAACGUUAUAUGAAAUUAGUUCAGUACCGACGAUAACCUCCUUUGUGACGACCAGGUCCACUACGACAAGAAUUACACAUGUAUUUGGUACUGUUCUUUAAGCGAAAACACCUCUACUCCAGACACCUCCUUCGUUCGUUACGUUACCGUGACCUACCGUAAAAUAAACUUCCACGUGGUCACUUCCAAUCUUCUGGUUGUCUGAUAUUGGGAAGAGACCGUCGACGGGACCCGGGUUCGGUCGGUUCGAGGUUAAACUUAGAACGACGCCAACCGGAUUGUGGUCCAAGUCGGCCUCCCAAUCUUCCGGGCCUGGCAUAAAAACACCCACCAGAGGGGAUAAUGAAGUGUCUCCGAGUUCAAGCCCUCGACGAACUUAGUAAACCCGGAGAAGCUCCUAAACUAGAACACUUUCUAUCCCUUUGACCAUUGAGUUUCCCGAUACGCAAGACACAGAUGGUCCUGGAGUUACAGUGACUGUAUCGGACGCGACGAGAUUUACCAUAGUUCUACCCUCUGUUUUGAGAAUGCCAGUCUGCUCGUUUGGUCCCGAGUCGGGUUGGAUCUGGUCUCGUCCUUUUAUAGGACAACGUCCGUGUCGUCGUCCACGUCAAUGUCUUUGAACACAUAGUUCAACCUCGCGAGGGAUGUUUCCAACAUACGGACUGGGUCCAUCAAUGACGACUACUUAAUUUUCUACUACUUCUUAUACUCCUGUAAUACCUCCUGUACUCCAACCUUCGACCCUUUAUACCAUUGAACCACUUUCAACAGUAGGGCGCGGGAGUAGGCUCACCUCUCGGUCAAAGACCUCAACCUUUCCACAAGAAUCUCAUACGUCUACAACUACCAAGGUGGUUUCGUUUCUGCCGCUACGUGCCUUCCUUUAAGCCACCUUUGGGUCAACAACGCCAGAAGAUGGGGCUCUUGUUCAAACGACUACUCCUGAUACUGCGCCGUCGUAUUUAAUAGAGAAAAGGUUACUGUUAUCACGAAACACAUCAAACAAGCUAAAUGUCGUUGCAAAAGGGAAAUCAGUUCGAAAGGACAUCGGGACCUAAAUACGUCUUGGCGGUCAAUAAUUAUAACCUUCUAUCUAACGGAUUUCUACUAGAUAACCAGAACAGGGAAUUAGAACUGACCGCAAUCUACACGGUCCCAUACGGUAAGAGAAGUAAAUCCCGGGAACUUUCUAAUAAUCGGUCAUUGAAAUGGAAAUCGAAAUGGUACGUUUACCGAGUUUUCUCAGUAGAACUUGUUGAACCGUACCAUUGGAGGCAGAUCUAGUAAUGCACGGAGUACUAUAAUGGAGGGGUCAAGUAUCAUAGUAUUGUAAACAUCUUAGGGUUAUUCAACAAUAGAUGAUGCAGGCAGAUCUAGUAUAGUAAACAUCUUAAGGUAAUUCGACACCAACAAUAGAUGAUGGAGGGACAUCUAAGUGAGUAAAGUGGCUGUCAAUUCGACACCAACAAUAGA
RNAcentral lists this ribosomal RNA (2578 nucleotides) under Triticum aestivum (bread wheat). RNAcentral describes it as "partial small subunit ribosomal RNA". The record is from RNAcentral. Lineage: Eukaryota; Viridiplantae; Streptophyta; Magnoliopsida; Poales; Poaceae.